This 399-nucleotide ribosomal RNA is filed under the name uncultured bacterium. Its description in RNAcentral is "bacterial SSU rRNA". It matches the Rfam family "Bacterial small subunit ribosomal RNA", at positions 359 to 775 of the family's 1533-position model. The record is from RNAcentral.
GAAUAUUGGACAAUGGGCGCAAGCCUGAUCCAGCCAUGCCGCGUGAGUGAUGAAGGCCCUAGGGUUGUAAAGCUCUUUCACCGGUGAAGAUAAUGACGGUAACCGGAGAAGAAGCCCCGGCUAACUUCGUGCCAGCAGCCGCGGUAAUACGAAGGGGGCUAGCGUUGUUCGGAUUUACUGGGCGUAAAGCGCACGUAGGCGGACUUUUAAGUCAGGGGUGAAAUCCCGGGGCUCAACCCCGGAACUGCCUUUGAUACUGGAAGUCUUGAGUAUGGAAGAGGUGAGUGGAAUUCCGAGUGUAGAGGUGAAAUUCGUAGAUAUUCGGAGGAACACCAGUGGCGAAGGCGGCUCACUGGUCCAUUACUGACGCUGAGGUGCGAAAGCGUGGGGAGCAAACAG